UUGUAUUUCACCAUUGUUUAUCCUUUUCCAUUGCUCUUUCUUUUGCUCGCAGAUUGAAACUCCCAAAGAUGUUCAAGAAAAGUUUGGCAGAACUGUGGUUGAAUCAUAUCUACUGUGAUAGGUUACAUAGGUUUACAAAGAAACAAUAUAAUCUGUGGAUAGAUUAAUCUCUUGAGCAUUUGGGAUGACCAAGCUGUUAUUUUCUGAAUCGAGGUUAUAUAAUAGGGAAAACAAACGACGCAGUGCCGGUGGCAAAAAGAUGCCGAAAGGAGAACCACUUUGCUUUUCUUUUUGAAAUGUGGAAUCAAAAUUGCUGAAAUUGAGCAGCAUAAUCAAUAAAAUCCUUUUAGUUUUGCAUAGUGAACUAUUCAUACCAAAAUCAUUUUUCUUGAUGCAGUUGCAUAUUUUAGUUGAUUAUGGUUUUAGGCUUAUGCUCUUUCUCUGUCUCUCAUGAAUUGUGUUGAGGAUAGGAAAUAACGUUGAUAUGGGCACUUAAUUUGUAAGA
Salvia miltiorrhiza (redroot sage) is the source of this 505-nucleotide long non-coding RNA. RefSeq lists it as uncharacterized. The record is from RefSeq and is a predicted model, not a curated record. The transcript has 2 exons. NCBI's taxonomy places the organism in Eukaryota, Viridiplantae, Streptophyta, Magnoliopsida, Lamiales, Lamiaceae.